GCCCGGGUGGUUCAGUCAGUUGAGCGUCUGACUUCAGCUCAGGUCAUGAUCUCACAGCUUGUGAGUUCGAGCCCCACGUCGGGCU
Molecule: transfer RNA, 85 nt
Filed under: Felis catus (domestic cat)
Lineage: Eukaryota; Metazoa; Chordata; Mammalia; Carnivora; Felidae
Also listed under: 2 other names
Rfam family: tRNA
About the family: Transfer RNA (tRNA) molecules are approximately 80 nucleotides in length.
Source: Rfam by way of RNAcentral